CCUACGGGGGGCAGCAGUGGGGAAUAUUGGGCAAUGGGGGAAACCCUGACCCAGCGACGCCGCGUGAGGGAAGAAGGUUUUCGGAUUGUAAACCUCUGUCCUUGGUGACGAUAAUGACGGUAGCCAAGGAGGAAGCCACGGCUAACUACGUGCCAGCAGCCGCGGUAAUACGUAGGGGGCAAGCGUUAUCCGGAUUUACCGGGUGUAAAGGGGGCGCAGACGGCGAUGCAAGCCAGGAGUGAAAGCCCGGGGCCCAACCCCGGGACUGCUCUUGGAACUGCGUGGCUAGAGUGCAGGAGGGGCAG
This 305-nucleotide ribosomal RNA is filed under the name uncultured bacterium. Its description in RNAcentral is "bacterial SSU rRNA". It matches the Rfam family "Bacterial small subunit ribosomal RNA", at positions 338 to 660 of the family's 1533-position model. The record is from RNAcentral.